This 506-nucleotide ribosomal RNA is filed under the name Helicotylenchus pseudorobustus. RNAcentral describes it as "SSU rRNA". It matches the Rfam family "Eukaryotic small subunit ribosomal RNA", at positions 89 to 590 of the family's 1831-position model. Lineage: Eukaryota; Metazoa; Nematoda; Chromadorea; Rhabditida; Hoplolaimidae. The record is from RNAcentral.
GCGAAUGGCUCAUUACAACAGCUAUAAUUUACUUGACCUUGACAACCUACUUGGAUAACUGUGGUAAUUCUAGAGCUAAUACAUGCACCAAAGCUCCGAUCCUCGCGGAGAGGAGCGCAUUUGUUCGCCACAAAACCAAGCGCCCUUCUGGGCGUCCAGUGCUGAACCAGAACAACUCAGCUGAUCGCACGGUCUUGCACCGGCGACGUGUCUUUCAAGUGUCUGCCUUAUCAACUUUCGAUGGUAGUGUACCUGACUACCAUGGUUGUGACGGGUAACGGAGGAUAAGGGUUCGACUCCGGAGAAGGGGCCUGAGAAAUGGCCACUACGUCUAAGGAUGGCAGCAGGCGCGCAAAUUACCCACUCUCAACGCGAGGAGGUAGUGACGAGAAAUAACAAGACCGUUCUCCUACGAGGCCGGUUAUUGGAAUGGGUACAAUUUAAACCCUUUAACGAGUAUCUAUGAGAGGGCAAGUCUGGUGCCAGCAGCCGCGGUAAUUCCAGCU